This 433-nucleotide ribosomal RNA is filed under the name uncultured bacterium. Its description in RNAcentral is "partial 16S ribosomal RNA". It matches the Rfam family "Bacterial small subunit ribosomal RNA", at positions 29 to 507 of the family's 1533-position model. The record is from RNAcentral.
AACGAACGCUGGCGGCAUGCCUAACACAUGCAAGUCGAACGAGACCUUCGGGUCUAGUGGCGCACGGGUGCGUAACGCGUGGGAACCUGCCCUUAGGUUCGGAAUAACUCCCCGAAAGGGGUGCUAAUACCGGAUAAUGUCUUCGGACCAAAGAUUUAUCGCCUUUGGAUGGGCCCGCGUUGGAUUAGCUAGUUGGUAGGGUAAAAGCCUACCAAGGCGACGAUCCAUAGCUGGUCUGAGAGGAUGAUCAGCCACACUGGGACUGAGACACGGCCCAGACUCCUACGGGAGGCAGCCGUUGGGAAUAUUGGACAAUGGGCGAAAGGCUGAUCCAGCAAUGCCGCGUGAGGGAUGAAGGGCUUAGGGUUGUAAAGCUCUUUUACCCGGGAUGAUAAUGACAGUACCGGGAGAAUAAGCUCCGGCUAACUCCGUG